This 62-nucleotide transfer RNA is filed under the name Eutreptiella gymnastica. It matches the Rfam family "tRNA", at positions 8 to 62 of the family's 71-position model. Rfam says of the family: Transfer RNA (tRNA) molecules are approximately 80 nucleotides in length. Their secondary structure includes four short double-helical elements and three loops (D, anti-codon, and T loops). Further hydrogen bonds mediate the characteristic L-shaped molecular structure. tRNAs have two regions of fundamental functional importance: the anti-codon, which is responsible for specific mRNA codon recognition, and the 3' end, to which the tRNAs corresponding amino acid is attached (by aminoacyl-tRNA synthetases). tRNAs cope with the degeneracy of the genetic code in two manners: having more than one tRNA (with a specific anti-codon) for a particular amino acid; and 'wobble' base-pairing, i.e. permitting non-standard base-pairing at the 3rd anti-codon position. The record is from RNAcentral. Lineage: Eukaryota; Euglenozoa; Euglenophyceae; Eutreptiales; Eutreptiaceae.
CGACUUAGCUCAGCGGGCAGAGCCAUGGGCUGUUUACCCAGGGGUCCCUGGUUCAAUUCCAG